Non-coding RNA from Neolamprologus brichardi, 159 nucleotides. The record is from RefSeq and is a predicted model, not a curated record. NCBI's taxonomy places the organism in Eukaryota, Metazoa, Chordata, Actinopteri, Cichliformes, Cichlidae.
UCUCUUCUGAACUUCAAUGACUUGCUCGUCGCAAUCAGAGAUGUCAUGCCUGAAGCCACUGUCACGGCCUUUGAAUACGAAGAUGAGGUGGGAGACAGAAUCACAGUAAGAAGUGAUGAAGAACUCAAAGCCAUGUUGUCAUAUGUGAGUACAUAAAUG